ACAACACAUUAAUACCUAAUUAAUUUGUUUUCAGAAUAAAUUAAGAUUGAAAUCUUAAAGUACGAUGCAAAAGGCAAAUGGUGUAAAGAUUCUAGUGGCCCAAGAAUUGGAUUUAAAUUAUUUCGACGAUUCGUUGGGCACGAGGAGUUACAUUCACAUGGAAAGGCUGAUUACCGUCAUAUAAAUGAAGAUGAAAUGAGUCACGACAAAACCUGACGACAUCGGGAAAUAUUUUCUCUGAGGCUAUGAAAUAUGAAUAGAAAUCCAAGAAAUCCGAAAAAAAUACAAGAAAAAAUCACAAUAAAGAAGAAAACAGCAUUACCAAGAAACCGUCUUCAAAAGUUCUACCAAAAAGGCUGAGGACUGGAAUGUUCCCGUUGAAGUUUCGCAUAUCUAUCUCUGUAUAUAGCAGAUGGCAAAUUUAAAUAAAGCAUCCUAAGAACUUCAUCUACAUCCCAACGCAUAUGGAGAGUUACUACCACGAUUUUAACAUAUUUUUAAAGCAAGUAUGGAGCAUAUAGGUAAAGCAAGUAAAUUGUGUCUCACUUCUUGAAUGUCUAUAGGAGCAUAAACUUUCUUUUCAA
Molecule: long non-coding RNA, 584 nt
Organism: Aethina tumida (small hive beetle)
Lineage: Eukaryota; Metazoa; Arthropoda; Insecta; Coleoptera; Nitidulidae
Exons: 3
Source: RefSeq, a predicted model, not a curated record